Molecule: ribosomal RNA, 233 nt
Filed under: uncultured bacterium
Lineage: Bacteria
Description: partial 16S ribosomal RNA
Rfam family: Bacterial small subunit ribosomal RNA
Source: RNAcentral
UACGUAGGGUGCAAGCGUUUAAUCGGAAUUACUGGGCGUAAAGCGUGCGCAGGCGGUUUUGUAAGUCUGACGUGAAAUCCCCCGGGCUCAACCUGGGAAUUGCGUUGGAGACUGCAAGGCUAGAAUCUGGCAGAGGGGGGGUAGAAUUCCACGUGUAGCAGUGAAAUGCGUAGAGAUGUGGAGGAACACCGAAUGGCGAAGGCAGCCCCCUGGGUCAAGAUUGACGCUCAUGC